This 443-nucleotide ribosomal RNA is filed under the name Staphylococcus aureus. RNAcentral describes it as "bacterial SSU rRNA". It matches the Rfam family "Bacterial small subunit ribosomal RNA", at positions 1 to 433 of the family's 1533-position model. The record is from RNAcentral. Lineage: Bacteria; Bacillati; Bacillota; Bacilli; Caryophanales; Staphylococcaceae.
UUUAUGGAGAGUUUGAUCCUGGCUCAGGAUGAACGCUGGCGGCGUGCCUAAUACAUGCAAGUCGAGCGAACGGACGAGAAGCUUGCUUCUCUGAUGUUAGCGGCGGACGGGUGAGUAACACGUGGAUAACCUACCUAUAAGACUGGGAUAACUUCGGGAAACCGGAGCUAAUACCGGAUAAUAUUUUGAACCGCAUGGUUCAAAAGUGAAAGACGGUCUUGCUGUCACUUAUAGAUGGAUCCGCGCUGCAUUAGCUAGUUGGUAAGGUAACGGCUUACCAAGGCAACGAUGCAUAGCCGACCUGAGAGGGUGAUCGGCCACACUGGAACUGAGACACGGUCCAGACUCCUACGGGAGGCAGCAGUAGGGAAUCUUCCGCAAUGGGCGAAAGCCUGACGGAGCAACGCCGCGUGAGUGAUGAAGGUCUUCGGAUCGUAAAACUC